Non-coding RNA from Nemania sp. FL0031, 82 nucleotides. Lineage: Eukaryota; Fungi; Ascomycota; Sordariomycetes; Xylariales; Xylariaceae. The record is from the annotation of a GenBank genome assembly.
GCCCGCUUGGCUAAGUGGUAAAGCGUGUCACUUGUAUCUAGAUGUCAUGACAAGAUCAGCGGUUCGAUUCCGCUAGUGGGCA